This 404-nucleotide ribosomal RNA is filed under the name Actinomycetes bacterium. RNAcentral's name for it is "Actinobacteria bacterium partial 16S ribosomal RNA". It matches the Rfam family "Bacterial small subunit ribosomal RNA", at positions 355 to 776 of the family's 1533-position model. The record is from RNAcentral. Lineage: Bacteria; Bacillati; Actinomycetota; Actinomycetes.
UGGGGAAUAUUGGACAAUGGGCGCAAGCCUGAUCCAGCCAUGCCGCGUGAGUGAUGAAGGCCCUAGGGUUGUAAAGCUCUUUCACCGGUGAAGAUAAUGACGGUAACCGGAGAAGAAGCCCCGUCUAACUUCGUGCCAGCAGCCGCGGUAAUACGAAGGGGGCUAGCGUUGUUCGGAUUUACUGGGCGUAAAGCGCACGUAGGCGGACUUUUAAGUCAGGGGUGAAAUCCCGGGGCUCAACCCCGGAACUGCCUUUGAUACUGGAAGUCUUGAGUAUGGUAGAGGUGAGUGGAAUUCCGAGUGUAGAGGUGAAAUUCGUAGAUAUUCGGAGGAACACCAGUGGCGAAGGCGGCUAACUGGACCAUUACUGACGCUGAGGUGCGAAAGCGUGGGGAGCAAACAGG